CCUGCCGGACCUGACUGCUAUCGGAUCGAUACUAAGCCAUGCGAGUCUUUGUAGUAAUACAAGGCAUACGGCUCAGUAACACGUAGUCAACCUACCCUAUGGACAAGAAUAAUCUCGGGAAACUGGGCAUAAUUCUUGAUAGAUCAUAAUGCCUGGAAUGGUUUAUGGUUAAAAUGAUUCGUCGCCAUAGGAUGGGACUGCGGCCUAUCAGCUUGUUGGUGAGGUAAUGGCCCACCAAGGCGAUUACAGGUACGGGCUCUGAGAGGAGAAGCCCGGAGAUGGGUACUGAGACACGGACCCAGGCCCUAUGGGGCGCAGCAGGCGAGAAAACUUUGCAAUGUGCGAAAGCACGACAAGGUUAAUCCGAGUGAUUUCUGCUAAAGAAAUCUUUUGCCAGUCAUAAAACCACUGGUGAAUAAGGGGUGGGCAAGUUCUGGUGUCAGCCGCCGCGGUAAAACCAGCACCUCAAGUGGUCAGGAUGAUUAUUGGGCCUAAAGCAUCCGUAGCCGGCUUUGUAAGUUUUCGGUUAAAUCCAUGUGCUCAACGCAUGAGCUGCCGAAAAUACUGCAUAGCUAGGGAGUGGGAGAGGUAGACGGUACUCAGUAGGAAGGGGUAAAAUCCUUUGAUCUAUUGAUGACCACCUGUGGCGAAGGCGGUCUACCAGAACACGUUCGACGGUGAGGGAUGAAAGCUGGGGGAGCAAACCGGAUUAGAUACCCGGGUAGUCCCAGCUGUAAACGAUGCAGACUCGAUGAUGCAUUGGCAUAAUAGCCAGUGCAGUGUCGCAGGGAAGCCGUUAAGUCUGCCGCCUGGGAAGUACGUACGCAAGUAUGAAACUUAAGGAAUUGGCGGGGGAGCACCACAAG
Molecule: ribosomal RNA, 866 nt
Filed under: uncultured marine group I thaumarchaeote
Lineage: Archaea; Thermoproteati; Nitrososphaerota
Description: SSU rRNA
Rfam family: Archaeal small subunit ribosomal RNA
Source: RNAcentral